RNAcentral lists this ribosomal RNA (247 nucleotides) under uncultured bacterium. RNAcentral describes it as "partial 16S ribosomal RNA". It matches the Rfam family "Bacterial small subunit ribosomal RNA", at positions 57 to 305 of the family's 1533-position model. The record is from RNAcentral.
GCAAGUCGAACGAGGAAUUUUAAUAGCUUGCUAAUGAAAUUCCUAGUGGCGGACGGGUUAGUAACACGUGAGAAUCCUACCCUUAAGUGGGGAAUAGCCUUUCGAAAGGAAGAUUAAUGCCCCAUGGUCUCUACGGAGUAAAGAUGCCUUCGGGUGUCGCUUAAGGAUGGGCUCGCGGCCUAUCAGCUAGUUGGUGAGGUAACUGCUCACCAAGGCAACGACGGGUAGCUGGUCUGAGAGGACGAUC